Molecule: transfer RNA, 77 nt
Filed under: uncultured Acidimicrobiales bacterium
Lineage: Bacteria; Bacillati; Actinomycetota; Acidimicrobiia; Acidimicrobiales
Also listed under: 1 other name
Description: tRNA-Val-CAC
Rfam family: tRNA
About the family: Transfer RNA (tRNA) molecules are approximately 80 nucleotides in length. Their secondary structure includes four short double-helical elements and three loops (D, anti-codon, and T loops).
Source: RNAcentral
GGGCGUGUAGCUCAGUUGGUUAGAGCGCGUCGUUCACACCGACGAGGCCAGGGGUUCGAGUCCCUUCACGCCCACCA